RNAcentral lists this microRNA precursor (116 nucleotides) under Hordeum vulgare. RNAcentral describes it as "microRNA MIR1122". It matches the Rfam family "MIR1120/MIR1122 microRNA precursor family". Lineage: Eukaryota; Viridiplantae; Streptophyta; Magnoliopsida; Poales; Poaceae. The record is from RNAcentral.
AUAAUACUCCAUCCGUCCCAAAAUAAGUGACUCAAAAAUAACUCAAUUUUAUAUUAGAAUUAGUGUAAAUUGGAGUCACUUUUGAGUCACUUAUUUUGGGACGGAGGGAGUAUAUA